This is a long non-coding RNA of Bactrocera neohumeralis, 1129 nucleotides long. RefSeq lists it as uncharacterized. NCBI's taxonomy places the organism in Eukaryota, Metazoa, Arthropoda, Insecta, Diptera, Tephritidae. The record is from RefSeq and is a predicted model, not a curated record. The transcript has 3 exons.
UGACAACACUUUAUAGAGGCUCCUUCGGGAUCCCCUCUAUCGUCUCAAAAUGCUUAGAAGAAUGGCUCUUUGUCUCGGGAUCAUACUCAAAAAUCCAUGACUCGUCACCUGUGAUUUCCUCAUUCAAAAAUUGGGCGUCACUUUUGCACAUGUUUAAAUUUUCUUGGCACACUUCUACUUGCCGCAACUUCUGGUCGUCAGUGAUCAAAUUUGGGACCAUCUUCGCGCACACCUUGCGCAUGUGUUCCGUCACAAUAUCAAGGAGGCAAUUAAACGAACGACGGUCUGAGUUGAAAACUUUGCGCACAUGAGUCACUCUACUUCUUGUUAAAGCAACAUCUAGCGACUGUACUUCGGAGCAUGCACGCAUUCGGUAAAGGGCGUUCCUAGCUAACGAACGUGUGGCUGGUCAGUUGUCUCCGAGCACCUGGAGAGUCAGGACAAACAUUUUCGCGCGACGUGUUCCUGUGAGUGGUACAAGCCGAAAAUGCAGAGCUGUGCGAUUAAAUUCUGUGUGAAACUCGGUAAAUCUGUGACUAAGACGUUUGAUAUGAUCAAGUAGGCUUACCUAGAUGUUGAUUUAGCAAGAAGUGGUGUGAUUCGGUGGCACCAGGCUUUUUGGGAGGGCCGGGAAAAGGGCGCUGAUGAAGACCAUGCUGGGAGACCUGCGACUUCGACAAACACCGACAAUGUGACUCGUGUGGGCAAAGUUCUCAACUCAGACCGUCAACUAAGUAAUCGUUUAAUUGCCCAAAUGUUAAAUUUAUCAAAAUCUUUGGCUCAUGACAUUGUGACGGAGCGCAAGGUGUGCCGAAGAUGAUCCCAAAAGUUCUCACUGACGACCAGAAAUCGCGGCGAGUAGAAGUGUGUCAAGAAAAUUUGAACACGUGGCAUUCUACAGCCAGAUGUAUCCCAGGACUUUUUUUGUUUCCUUGCCUGAAAAGGCCGAUGAAAGGCAAGCAUUUUGAGAUGACAGAGGGGAUCCAAGCAGUAUUCACCUCGGCUCCCUUUCGUGACGACUUCAAUGUUUGGAAAUCGCGCUGGUAGCGCUGCAUCUACGCCGAAGGAGCAUAUUUUAAAAGUUUUUAAAGAAUUGUAACGAUUGGUACAAUAAAUGUUUUUAAAUCGA